Molecule: long non-coding RNA, 567 nt
Organism: Mastomys coucha (southern multimammate mouse)
Lineage: Eukaryota; Metazoa; Chordata; Mammalia; Rodentia; Muridae
Exons: 4
Source: RefSeq, a predicted model, not a curated record
AAAACUAGAUAAAAUAAAUCAGUUCCUUCCCUGAUGAUUGCUGUAACAGAAAACCAAGUGGAAAAUGACAGAUGAAGGCCUUUGCAUUUCCACAUUGCUCGUGACCAAAGAAUGCAGCUUGUAUUGCCAAUCAAGAAUUCUUACACUGUCCUGAAUGAUAAGUGUGUGUGUUGGAUAGAAUCAUUUUGAGCACAGGCUACGUUUGCUUAGGUCACUAAAAUGCUCCAGAAAUGGAUCAGCCCAACAAGAGAUAAUUAGACCUAAUGGAUGCUGGCGAAUACUCAAUAGCUUUCCAAUCCAUUGUAUUUGGUAGCAAUUUUGCAGGCAAUUAUGUGUAUCAAGGUUGGAAAUGCCAAGAAAUCCAAGAAUUCUUUUGGUGUUGGAGCAGAAGGAACAAAGAACAAUUAAAAGGCAUGAAUAUAUUUUCAAAUAGAUGCAGGAAGAAUGUGUUGAAUGCUAAGAGGCAAUUAUUACAAUGGAUGAUGACUCCCUUUCCCAUUGGCAGCACCCUUCUCUGAGGUCUGAUGCUCCUCCACUCUCUCUGUUGUUAGUUGUAUACCUCUAUGU